Molecule: non-coding RNA, 364 nt
Organism: Pelobates cultripes (western spadefoot toad)
Lineage: Eukaryota; Metazoa; Chordata; Amphibia; Anura; Pelobatidae
Source: the annotation of a GenBank genome assembly
UCAAUGUACUGAGCAUGUGCAGGAAUGUAGGAACUGAAAUCACACUCCUUUGUCCUUUGUUUCGGGUGAGCCAUGUGGUCAGACCGGAUGAGCAAGUCCAGACUCUGUUUAUUGAUUGGUUAAGGGUAUGUGUGGGUGUAGGGAGGAGCUAUAUUGCUAUAUAAGGAAUGUACUCCAUGUGUUCUGGGCUCAGAUCUGUUGUGGAACGUUAGUCCAUCUGAGACCCGAUCGGUACGUGAAUAAAGGCCUCUUACUUCCUGAAUACCUGUGUCCAUAUCUCUAUGUGUGGCUUCUGCGGUUUGUUCCUGUUAUUCCUCCGGUAACAGUACAAUAAUGUAGGAUAGCACCCACAAAAAUAAUCGCU